GACGAACGCUGGCGGCGUGCUUAACACAUGCAAGUCGAACGGAAAGGCCCUGCUUUUGCGGGGUGCUCGAGUGGCGAACGGGUGAGUAACACGUGAGUAACCUGCCCUUGACUUUGGGAUAACUUCAGGAAACUGGGGCUAAUACCGGAUAGGAGCUCCUGCUGCACGGUGGGGGAUGGAAAGAUUCGGCGGUUGUGGAUGGACUCGCGGCUUAUCAGCUUGUUGGUGGGGUAGUGGCUUACCAAGGCUUUGACGGGUAGCCGGCCUGAGAGGGUGACCGGCCACAUUGGGACUGAGAUACGGCCCAGACCCCUACGGGGCGCAGCAGUGGGGAAUAUUGCACAAUGGGCGGAAGCCUGAUACAGCAACGCCGCGUGCGGGAUGACGGCCUUCUGGUUGUAAACCGCUUUCGCCGGUGACGAAGCGUGAGUGACGGUAAUGGGUAAAAAAGCACCGGCUAACUACGUG
This 468-nucleotide ribosomal RNA is filed under the name uncultured bacterium. Its description in RNAcentral is "partial 16S ribosomal RNA". It matches the Rfam family "Bacterial small subunit ribosomal RNA", at positions 28 to 507 of the family's 1533-position model. The record is from RNAcentral.